This 387-nucleotide long non-coding RNA is filed under the name Gossypium raimondii (Peruvian cotton). RNAcentral's name for it is "long non-coding RNA (GRAI_LNC010117)". Lineage: Eukaryota; Viridiplantae; Streptophyta; Magnoliopsida; Malvales; Malvaceae. The record is from RNAcentral.
UUUUUUUACUGAGGUUGCUGGUAGUGGAUUUGGUUAUGAUGAUGUUCGGGUUGACUGGGGUUUUGGGUGUGAGGUUGACGGUAGGUGCAAGCUGAAGUAGUGAUCUGGACUCUGAUUUAGUGAAUAGUGUGAUGGUAGGGCUGGAGUAGAGGUUGGAGCAGUUGGCGCUGGUGAAGAUGGGAGAGGGAGUUGUCCUUGGCAGUGGUGGUUGGCGACUUUGACUCCAUCAACAGGCUCAAGGUCAUAUGGACCAAAUAUUGUAAAAUAUAUUUUCAGAAUUAUAUAAAUCUAACAUUAAUGGUCAAAGCCAAAAAAAUAUAUAUGUAUUUAGCAUAAAAAAUAAAAGGAUCAUACAUUACCCAAAUAGUGAAAAUGGAUCCAAAUUCA